CCUGUACCUAGGGACAUUGCAUGUGUGACUAUUUUGUCACUUGUGCAUCAAUAGGUGACAGAGAGCAGAGAGACUAUGUCUAUGCUCAGUGUUAUGACCUGUGACCAUCUGAAAGAUUAGUAGCCCUAAUACU
Molecule: small nucleolar RNA, 133 nt
Organism: Apodemus sylvaticus (European woodmouse)
Lineage: Eukaryota; Metazoa; Chordata; Mammalia; Rodentia; Muridae
Product: small nucleolar RNA SNORA17
Exons: 1
Source: RefSeq, a predicted model, not a curated record